RNAcentral lists this ribosomal RNA (253 nucleotides) under uncultured bacterium. RNAcentral describes it as "partial 16S ribosomal RNA". It matches the Rfam family "Bacterial small subunit ribosomal RNA", at positions 524 to 776 of the family's 1533-position model. The record is from RNAcentral.
UACGGGGGGGGCAAGCGUUGUUCGGAAUUACUGGGCGUAAAGGGCUCGUAGGCGGUCAACUAAGUCAGACGUGAAAUCCCUCGGCUUAACCGGGGAACUGCGUCUGAUACUGGAUGGCUUGAAUCCGGGAGAGGGAUGCGGAAUUCCAGGUGUAGCGGUGAAAUGCGUAGAUAUCUGGAGGAACACCGGUGGCGAAGGCGGCAUCCUGGACCGGCAUUGACGCUGAGGAGCGAAAGCGUGGGGAGCAAACGGG